Molecule: ribosomal RNA, 460 nt
Filed under: uncultured bacterium
Lineage: Bacteria
Description: partial 16S ribosomal RNA
Rfam family: Bacterial small subunit ribosomal RNA
Source: RNAcentral
CCUACGGGAGGCAGCAGUGAGGAAUCUUGGUCAAUGGACGAGAGUCUGAACCAGCCAAGUAGCGUGAAGGAUGACUGCCCUAUGGGUUGUAAACUUCUUUUAUAUGGGAAUAAAACAGGGUAUGCAUACCCUCUUGUAUGUACCAUAUGAAUAAGGAUCGGCUAACUCCGUGCCAGCAGCCGCGGUAAUACGGAGGCUCCGAGCGUUAUCCGGAUUGAUUGGGUUUAAAGGGCGCGUAGGUGGAUUGUUAAGUCAGUUGUGAAAGUUUGCGGCUCAACCGUAAAAUUGCAGUUGAAACUGGCAGUCUUGAGUACAGUAGAGGUGGGCGGAAUUCGUGGUGUAGCAGUGAAAUGCUUAGAUAUCACGAAGAACACCGAUUGCGAAGGCAGCUCACUGGACUGCAACUGACACUGAGGCUCGAAAGUGUGGGUAGCAAACAGGAUUAGAUACCCCUGUAGUC